CAUGUGUUAGCAAGGGCCGGGCAAGACCGGUGCCAGCCGCCGCGGUAACACCGGCGGCCCGAGUGGUGAUCACUAUUAUUGGGUCUAAAGGGUCCGUAGCCGGUUUGAUCAGUCUUCCGGGAAAUCUGACAGCUCAACUGUUAGGCUUCCGGGAGAUACUGUCAGACUUGGGACCGGGAGAGGUAAGAGGUACUACAGGGGUAGGAGUGAAAUCUUGUAAUCCCUGUGGGACCACCAGUGGCGAAGGCGUCUUACCAGAACGGGUCCGACGGUGAGGGACGAAAGCUGGGGGCACGAACCGGAUUAGAUACCCGGGUAGUCCCAGCCGUAAACGAUGCUCGCUAGGUGUCAGGGACGGUGCGACCGUUUCUGGUGCCGCAGGGAAGCCGUGAAGCGAGCCACCUGGAAAGUACGGCCGCAAGGCUGAAACUUAAAGGAUUGGCGGGGAGCUCUACA
This 456-nucleotide ribosomal RNA is filed under the name uncultured archaeon. Its description in RNAcentral is "bacterial SSU rRNA". It matches the Rfam family "Archaeal small subunit ribosomal RNA", at positions 426 to 883 of the family's 1478-position model. The record is from RNAcentral.